Long non-coding RNA from Pan troglodytes (chimpanzee), 248 nucleotides. RefSeq lists it as uncharacterized. Lineage: Eukaryota; Metazoa; Chordata; Mammalia; Primates; Hominidae. The transcript is spliced from 2 exons. The record is from RefSeq and is a predicted model, not a curated record.
GGCUGCGUGUAGACCUGGGUGACUGUCAGCUGAGUUCCCAAGUGGAGGGCCUCGGAAGACGCUCUGUGCGGCCUACUAACAAGCACGAGGUACACGCAGAGAAAAGGCCAUGUGAAGACACAGCGGGAAGGUAGCCAUCUGCAAGCCAAGGAGAGAGGCCUCCAGAGACACCAAAACCUGCCGACACCUUGAUCUUGGACUUCAUGCCCCCAAAACUGUGAGAAAAUAAAUUUCUGUUGUUUAAGCCA